GGGGGUAGUGUUACGGUUUAGGGUAUAAGCUGUAGGUUUGUACAUACGACUCUUUCGGGCUACUCAGUAAACACUCUAUUCUAUUUUCGCGUUCGUCGUUUACUGUUAGCCAACGCGUAUACAAAGACAUUUGAUGAACAUUGUGUAUACUUAUAUAUUGUUAUUGUAUGUAAAUAUUGUUAGUAAGGUCUCUGGGAAUAAUAGUAUAGAGUUCGUCUUCAUUGUUUGACCACGGGGGGUCCCCUGACUGAACGACUGUUCCCACCUUCUGUUUACCCUUAUUUCACACGUUCCCGCUUUAUUACCUUGUUAUUUUAUUAGCGUUAAGGCAUGAUAUAUUGUAACCGGGGCCCAUACAUGCUAAGAGUAAGCUUAGAUAAGUCCCGUUUGUCCAUUUCCCGACUCGACAGAAUGUCAACAUUCCGAUCGCCGCCAUUUGCAUCACUAUGUUUAUUGACGUCAGUGACCUAAUGACCUGAGAUCAGCAUCCAAUCAGCAUAACGUAAUUUGCCCACCAUCUCCAUAGGGGCACGAGACGUUGGUGGGACAGAGAUAUAAAAGCAAGUGCACAACAGUCUUCAGAUAGACUGCGGCCCGCUACCAGGGC
RNAcentral lists this long non-coding RNA (607 nucleotides) under Mytilus galloprovincialis (Mediterranean mussel). The record is from RNAcentral. Lineage: Eukaryota; Metazoa; Mollusca; Bivalvia; Mytilida; Mytilidae.